UCUCCGUAGGUGAACCUGCGGAGGGAUCAUUACUGAGUGAGGGUCUCCGGGCCCGACCUCCAACCCUUUUGUGAACCACCUCGUUGCUUCGGGGGCGACCCUGCCGUUCGCGGCGUGGGGCCCCCGGAGGACUUCCAACCCUGCAUCAUUGCGUCGGAGUAUUUUUUGUAAAUCUAAACAAAACUUUCAACAACGGAUCUCUUGGUUCUGGCAUCGAUGAAGAACGCAGC
This 230-nucleotide unclassified non-coding RNA is filed under the name uncultured fungus. RNAcentral's name for it is "sequence contains ITS1, 5.8S rRNA gene". The stretch from base 182 to 230 matches the Rfam family "5.8S ribosomal RNA", at positions 1 to 49 of the family's 154-position model. Lineage: Eukaryota; Fungi. The record is from RNAcentral.